GACGCUGUAGAAUGAAGACGCUUUCUUAUUUACAGUAGAAUAAGAAGAAUUAUAGAGACGGCUAGUAAUAGAGGACAUCGGACGGUUCCCGUAUUAAGUAUUUAAAGUAUUUGUUGUUUCAACACUAGCGUCGACUUAAUUUAUCGACUGUUAGCCUUUCGUCGGUGUUCUCUGUUCCAGUAUUGAGUUCAGUGGUACCUCCAGUUGGACUUUGUUACAUUUUCAAGUACUAAACACCGCGGAAGAGCAUAACAAUACACAGUAGUCUGUUGGGAAUAAAUGAAUACGUCAUCGCCAAACUUUCUAGAUGCUGAUCUGAUUGGCCGUAAUAACCGUAUAGCACAUUAACUGGUUUAAUCGAGACCAAUUAGGCCUGCGACGUCGCAACCUGCGUAGACCAAUCGCUCGUUGACAAGGAAUUCUACGAUCGCGGUGCCUGGGGUGGUUUCUCCACUUACCACCCCCAGAUGAUAUAAGCUUUUUUCUUAAUGUUUUCUUGAGUUGAGGGGUCCCAAACAGAGGAUGCAUAUUCUGUUAUUGGCCUAACCAAGAAGAUAAACAUCACAAAGCACCCCUAGAAAGUUGGCUAAAUAUAGGAACGUAUUUGAACUUCUUUGUCACAGCAAGCAAGGGAAAUGUCAAACUAAAUCUGCUCCAGGCAAUGAAGACAUAUUUUUAGGUUACUGUUUUCGUGCAUUAUUAUGUAAAUGAUGAACAAGUUGAUCUGAUUUGCUGAGCUAACAUCUGACGUCUUUAUUGCACGACUUCUUAAAGAAGGGAGAAGUGCGGCGUUUUAGAAAUAACUGCGAAUUGAUUUGAAACAUUUUAGACAGUCAAAAGAUUUUGAAACUUCAAAAGAGUUAAUGACAAUUUCAAAAAGUUAUAAAAAGAAAGUUGCAAAUAAGGAAAUUUUAGAGACAAUGAUCUCAAUAACAUCGUUGGCCAAUAACAUUAUUUAGAAAGAACUGGAUUUGACUUCAAACAUUUUGACUGUCAAAUGAUUUUGAAACUUCAAAAGAGAAAGUGUGUAAUUUAAAAUGCUACAACAAGAAAAUGGCAAAAUAGGACAUACGCUGGUCUUAGUAAUAUUGUUGACCAAUAACAUUGUAAUAUUGUUGACCAAUAACAUUGUAAUAUUGUUGACCAAUAACAUUGUGAUUUUGUUGACCAAUAACAUUGUAAUAUUAUUGACCGAUAACAUUGUUUACAAAAUCAUACUGCAUUCAAAGAUUUGCUGUAUUUGUUAUUAUUCCGUCCCUUCUACUGACCUGGCAGCGUCCUCCAUGCAGCUAAUAAAUUGAGUAACAAAUGUAUUCGGGACAAACUUAUUGUUCUCUAAAUCAAUGUCAAAGGCGUCAUCAAAUAUAAUGUGAACUGUGAAACAAAAAUGUGCACUAUUAUAUAUACUUAUAGUAAAAGUUAAAAAAAACAU
This is a long non-coding RNA of Biomphalaria glabrata, 1432 nucleotides long. RefSeq lists it as uncharacterized. Lineage: Eukaryota; Metazoa; Mollusca; Gastropoda; Planorbidae. The transcript has 3 exons. The record is from RefSeq and is a predicted model, not a curated record.